UUCAUAGGAAACCUACUGUGUUCUUCAAAUUCAUCCGAUGUGAACUUGUGCAACUAUACAACAGUCUAUUCAUGCCAGGCUAAUCUAGGAAUUAGCUGUAAUGGCUUCCCUUUGGAUAUUAGAUCAAUUGGUUUGGUUGGUGGAUCAAGUGCACGUGAUGGUCGUGUAGAAUUGCGAAUUGAAAAUACUGCUGGCACAAUCUGCCAAGAUAAUUUCGUUUUGAAGGAUGCGCAAGUGAUCUGCAAAAUGAUCGGAUUUAAUGCCGCUUCUUUAUUCUACGCUGACUAUAAUUACAACACCACCGAGCGCCUUCCUAUGAUCAGAGACAUUCAGUGCUCGGGACAGGAAAGUCACAUAAAUAAUUGUACAUAUAUAACUCCAUACAACGGCUACAAAUGUGUCGAUGGUGCAGUAGCUCUUGUUUGUACAGAAUGUGGUCCAGUUAAUGUUUCAAAUGGACAAAUAACGUCAUACAAUGACACGUCGAGGACUUUAACAAUUCGAUGUCAUACUGGUGACCCAGCCUAUGUUCAAUACAUAUGUGGAAACAACGGAAUAUGGAAUAAAACUGCAGAAUGUAUUCCAGUUAAUGUCCAAGACACACGCUUAGUUUAUCAAGCGUUAUAUCCAUAUCGAGGCAGAGUAGAGCUAAAAAUCAACGGCACAUGGGGGACCAUCUGUGACAGCUUGUUUGGCAUUAAAGAAGCAAUGGUCUUGUGUCGAAUGUUCAAUGCUAGUUACUUGUCAUACACGCCCAAUGGAGGUUAUGGUCGAGGUUCUGGUCCUGUCCACAUGGCUAACCUACAAUGCUCGGGUUCUGAAACGGACGUAGGCAGCUGUUCGUUUAACUCGAAACACAAUUGCUCGCAUUCGAACGAUGUUGGAAUUCAAUGUACAUUUUCCAGCCUCAAUGUCACCUGAUAUAAGAUUGUCUGGUGGGACAAGCAGGUUCGAUGGCAGGGUUGAACUUUUUGCAAAAGGAAUUUGGGGCUCGGUUUGUGCCUGGAAUUUCUCUCCAGCAUAUGGCGAGAUGCUUUGUCGAAUGAUGAAUUUAACAUAUAUUAAUCAUUAUUGUUGCUCACGGAACGGAGAUGGGGCGAUACUUCUGCGUAUAACAAGUUGCCCAAAUACAUCAAAUCAUAUCAACAAUUGUGUAUAUACACCGCUACCAUCGAAUUGGCCUUGUCAGCCUUCGAACACGACGUCAUUGGUCUGCUCAGAAUGCCCCGCUCUGCUUGUCUCUGGUGGAUCUUUGGCAUACAACACAAAUGGCACGAUUGCCACACUGACAUGCAAUGCUGGAUUCAUUUCAAAUAUUAUCACAUUCGUUUGCAAGGAGGGCCAGUGGUCACAACAGACAGCAAUCUGCCAUCUUUACCCACCGCUAAAUGUAACGGGAGUACGCCUUGUUAAUGGACCAAGCCUUAACGUAGGCAGAGCCGAAAUAGCCGUGGAGGGCACGUAUGGAACCAUUUGCGACAGCAAUUUUGACUAUGCCAACGCUGAAGUUUUAUG
Molecule: long non-coding RNA, 1515 nt
Organism: Dreissena polymorpha
Lineage: Eukaryota; Metazoa; Mollusca; Bivalvia; Myida; Dreissenidae
Exons: 10
Source: RefSeq, a predicted model, not a curated record